This 316-nucleotide RNase P RNA is filed under the name human gut metagenome. Its description in RNAcentral is "Bacterial RNase P class B". It matches the Rfam family "Bacterial RNase P class B". From Rfam's summary of the family: Ribonuclease P (RNase P) is a ubiquitous endoribonuclease, found in archaea, bacteria and eukarya as well as chloroplasts and mitochondria. The record is from RNAcentral.
UUAGGCAAUCGCUGCCUUUAUAGGUAGAGGAAAGUCCAUGCUCGCACAAUCUGCGAUGAUUGUAGUGUUUAUGCUAGGUUAAUAAAUAAGCCUAGGCAACGUAAGUUGACGGCUGGAGAUGUUCCUAAGGGAAACUAUGGAACUAUCCUAUAAAAGUGUCAAAGAGACGAGCCUUAUAGAAAUAUAAGGAGUGGAACGUGAUAAACCCCAUAAGCGAGAAACCCAAAUUUGGUAGGGGAACCUGAAAGGGCAAAAUGAAGUCUAAUCGGGCUGGUAACAGAGAUAAAUGAUUGCUUGAUACAGAACAUGGCUUAUU